CGGGUGAGUAACACGUGAGUAACCUGCCCCAGGCUUUGGGAUAACCCCGGGAAACCGGGGCUAAUACCGGAUAUGACCAUCUGUCGCAUGGUGGGUGGUGGAAAGAUUUUUUGGCUUGGGAUGGGCUCGCGGCCUAUCAGCUUGUUGGUGGGGUGAUGGCCUACCAAGGCGGCGACGGGUAGCCGGCCUGAGAGGGCGACCGGCCACACUGGGACUGAGACACGGACCAGACUCCUACGGGAGGCAGCAGUGGGGAAUCUUGCACAAUGGGCGGAAGCCUGAUGCAGCGACGCCGCGUGAGGGAUGACGGCCUUCGGGUUGUAAACCUCUUUCAGCAGGGACGAAGCGUUUGUGACGGUACCUGCAGAAGAAGCGCCGGCCAACUACGUGCCAGCAGCCGCGGUAAGACGUAGGGCGCAAGCGUUGUCCGGAUUUAUUGGGCGUAAAGAGCUCGUAGGCGGCUUGUCGCGUCGACUGUGAAAACCCGUGGCUCAACUGCGGGCUUGCAGUCGAUACGGGCAGGCUAGAGUUCGGUAGGGGAGACUGGAAUUCCUGGUGUAGCGGUGAAAUGCGCAGAUAUCAGGAGGAACACCGGUGGCGAAGGCGGGUCUCUGGGCCGAUACUGACGCUGAGGAGCGAAAGCGUGGGGAGCGAACAGGAUUAGAUACCCUGGUAGUCCACGCUGUAAACGUUGGGCGCUAGGUGUGGGGGGCCUCUCCGGUUCUCUGUGCCGCAGCUAACGCAUUAGCGCCCCGCCUGGGGAGUACGGCCGCAAGCUAAAACUCAAGGAUUGACGGGGCCCGCA
This 805-nucleotide ribosomal RNA is filed under the name Salinispora arenicola. RNAcentral describes it as "bacterial SSU rRNA". It matches the Rfam family "Bacterial small subunit ribosomal RNA", at positions 103 to 925 of the family's 1533-position model. Lineage: Bacteria; Bacillati; Actinomycetota; Actinomycetes; Micromonosporales; Micromonosporaceae. The record is from RNAcentral.